GACGAACGCUGGCGGCGUGCCUAAUACAUGCAAGUAGAACGCACAGUUUAUACCGUAGCUUGCUACACCAUAGACUGUGAGUUGCGAACGGGUGAGUAACGCGUAGGUAACCUGCCUGGUAGCGGGGGAUAACUAUUGGAAACGAUAGCUAAUACCGCAUAAUAUUAAUUAUUGCUUGAUAAUUAAUUGAAAGGUGCAAUUGCACCACUACCAGAUGGACCUGCGUUGUAUUAGCUAGUAGGGGAGGUAACGGCUCACCUAGGGGACGAUUCAUAGCCGACCUUGAGGGGUGGUCGGCCACACUGGGACUGGGACCCGGCCCAGACUCCUACGGGGGGCAGCAGUAGGGGAUCUUCGGCCAUGGACGGAAGUCUGACCGAGCAACGCCGCGUGAGUGAAGGAGGUUUUCGGAUCGUAAAGCUCUGUUGUAAGGGAAGAACGGGUGUGAGAGUGGAAAGUUCACGCUGUGACGGUAUCUUACCAGAAAGGGACGGCUAACUACGUG
Molecule: ribosomal RNA, 505 nt
Filed under: uncultured bacterium
Lineage: Bacteria
Description: partial 16S ribosomal RNA
Rfam family: Bacterial small subunit ribosomal RNA
Source: RNAcentral